GACGAACGCUGGCGGCGUGCCUAAUACAUGCAAGUCGAACGCAGUGGGGACGGGUGAGUAACACGUGGGUAACCUCCCAUCAGAGGGGAUAACACUUGGAAACAGGUGCUAAACCGAUACUGAUGGAUGGACCCGCGGUGCAUUAGCUAGUUGGUGAGGUAACGGCUCACCAAGGCCACGAUGAAUAGCCGACCGGAGGUGGUGAUUGGCCAACCUGGUACGGAGGCACGGCCCAAACUCCUACGUGAGGCAGCAGUAGGAAAUCUGCGGCAGUGGACGAGAGUCUGACCGAGCAACGCCGCGUGAGUGAAGAAGGUGUUCGGAUCGUAAAACUAUGAUGUUAGAGAAGCGGUAUCUAACCAGAAAGCCACGGCUAACUACGUGCCAGCAGCCGCGGUAAUAC
This 403-nucleotide ribosomal RNA is filed under the name uncultured bacterium. RNAcentral describes it as "partial 16S ribosomal RNA". It matches the Rfam family "Bacterial small subunit ribosomal RNA", at positions 28 to 526 of the family's 1533-position model. The record is from RNAcentral.